Molecule: ribosomal RNA, 496 nt
Filed under: uncultured bacterium
Lineage: Bacteria
Description: partial 16S ribosomal RNA
Rfam family: Bacterial small subunit ribosomal RNA
Source: RNAcentral
AUGAACGCUGGCGGCGUGCCUAAUACAUGCACGUCGAGCGAACAGACGAGGAGCUUGCUCCUCUGACGUUAGCGGCGGACGGGUGAGUAACACGUGGAUAACCUACCUAUAAGACUGGGAUAACUUCGGGAAACCGGAGCUAAUACCGGAUAAUAUAUUGAACCGCAUGGUUCAAUAGUGAAAGACGGUUUUGCUGUCACUUAUAGAUGGAUCCGCGCCGCAUUAGCUAGUUGGUAAGGUAACGGCUUACCAAGGCAACGAUGCGUAGCCGACCUGAGAGGGUGAUCGGCCACACUGGAACUGAGACACGGUCCAGACUCCUACGGGAGGCAGCAGUAGGGAAUCUUCCGCAAUGGGCGAAAGCCUGACGGAGCAACGCCGCGUGAGUGAUGAAGGUCUUCGGAUCGUAAAACUCUGUUAUUAGGGAAGAACAAAUGUGUAAGUAACUAUGCACGUCUUGACGGUACCUAAUCAGAAAGCCACGGCUAACUACAUG